Molecule: transfer RNA, 80 nt
Filed under: Schisandra sphenanthera
Lineage: Eukaryota; Viridiplantae; Streptophyta; Magnoliopsida; Austrobaileyales; Schisandraceae
Also listed under: 1 other name
Description: tRNA-Ser
Rfam family: tRNA
About the family: Transfer RNA (tRNA) molecules are approximately 80 nucleotides in length. Their secondary structure includes four short double-helical elements and three loops (D, anti-codon, and T loops). Further hydrogen bonds mediate the characteristic L-shaped molecular structure. tRNAs have two regions of fundamental functional importance: the anti-codon, which is responsible for specific mRNA codon recognition, and the 3' end, to which the tRNAs corresponding amino acid is attached (by aminoacyl-tRNA synthetases). tRNAs cope with the degeneracy of the genetic code in two manners: having more than one tRNA (with a specific anti-codon) for a particular amino acid; and 'wobble' base-pairing, i.e. permitting non-standard base-pairing at the 3rd anti-codon position.
Source: RNAcentral
GGAGGUAUGGCUGAGUGGCUUAAGGCAUUGGUUUGCUAAAUCGACAUACAACAAGAUUGUAUCAUGGGCCAUUUCCUCCG